AAAGUCGUAACAAGGUUUCCGUAGGUGAACCUGCGGAAGGAUCAUUACAAAUCCACACGUCUCUCUUACCCGAGACAACGUUGAACCCCGUCCGACCCCCUCCUGGACGGCCUCCCUCUCGCACGCUGUGAGAACAGCAGUGACGGGGCUGGCCGUGCAGGAGGCUGGAAGGACUAUAUGACAACACAAUGUUCCCUCGUGUGACCCAUUUGUACCAUGGUGCAUGCUAUGAGUGGGAGAUGUGACGGGGGCUUUGCUUGCGCAUUCGCCUGAUCCCCUCCCUUCAUAUGUGCAACAUAUUCAUUCUUAUACAACUUAUAACAAUGGAUCUCUAGGCUCUU
RNAcentral lists this unclassified non-coding RNA (341 nucleotides) under Basidiomycota sp. RNAcentral describes it as "partial contains small subunit ribosomal RNA, internal transcribed spacer 1, and 5.8S ribosomal RNA". The stretch from base 1 to 47 matches the Rfam family "Eukaryotic small subunit ribosomal RNA", at positions 1785 to 1831 of the family's 1831-position model. The record is from RNAcentral. Lineage: Eukaryota; Fungi; Basidiomycota.